This is a long non-coding RNA of Panicum virgatum (switchgrass), 496 nucleotides long. RefSeq lists it as uncharacterized. The record is from RefSeq and is a predicted model, not a curated record. Lineage: Eukaryota; Viridiplantae; Streptophyta; Magnoliopsida; Poales; Poaceae. The transcript has 2 exons.
GAAUCAACUGUUAUCGACGCUCCAUUCUCACCUCUUCUUCCCUCUCGUUGUCAUCCUAUCCCCCAACCCCCUCCACAAGAACAAAGAGGAGUCAGUGCAAGUGGUUGCGGCGAUGGUGUGCGCCAAGUGAAGGAUGAAAUAAUAUGCUGCUUGUUCAUCAGUUGAGCAAGUGCAAAGAGUUUGAGUACAGAAUUGUUGGCUACAAGGUGCAUCAAGGAGAUCUUUCCUUUGCAUUUCUGAUUGGGACAACCACCACCCUGUCAAUGAUGCCUCCUGUCUCUCACAUCGGCAAGCCUGAUGAGUAGAAGAAGUGCAAGCGUGGGGUUUCGAUUUUAUAAUGAAGUUUGAUAGUUUUUUAUGUUUGAGUCAGUGUCCUAGAAUCUGGGUCAUUUUCUGUGUCCAUCAGUACUAUACUACUAUGGCACCUCUUUAUGACAGAAUUCAUAAUCUGUUUGUAUCUUAGCACUGCUUCGUUCAUGAAUGGUGUUUUCAGCUC